AAUUACUUUGAUAAAAUACAUAUUUUGUUGCAUGCAACAUAUUUUGUUGCAUGGACCUAUUAGGUCCAUAAAUUACCAUAUAGCAUAUAUUCAACACAAAAAACAGCAACAAUUUGUUGUUGACAAAGGACAGCUGGACAUAGAAAGGACCCCAUUACCUUCAGUAGCUUAUUAAAGGGACAUCAUCAAUAAGGGACAGCAGCGGGACAUGGUGCUGGGAUAAGGGACUGUCCCGCCAAAUAAGGGACGCUUGACAGCUAUGGUACAGGCAGCAUAAUGACUGCAAUGAAAAUACUGUAGCAAUGCCAGCCCCCUGAACGUCUUUUCUGCAAGGCACUGUCCACUCACCCCAAUUCCUGUCUAGUGCCCCUGUUGUUUGGAAGCACUCUUAUCUACUUAGGAAAAAAGCAAGUUCUAAAAGACAGGAAGCAAGUCUGGAGACAUUCUCAUCAGAGAGGCUUUAGUACAGAGACAGGUGAUUUUCUUCAGAGUUUGAAUGCUAGCUGCUGUUCUCAUGCCCGCAUAGCUUAGCACAUUCCAGGAUCUGCCAAGAUAAAGGAAACAAACUGUUCCGACCAGGUGAAGUCAAAUUUAACACAGGCACAGCACGCAAGGCUGGUGCCUUGUGAUCAUUUUAUCUUUAAGGAAAAGUUGUUGCUUUCUUCUCCCAGGUGGGCCCCAAGGCCAAGACUUUCUGGGUCCUGAAAAAAUGAAUUUCACCCUUUCCCUUAAGGCUGUCAUUCCUCAGGCCAAUGAGGACAGACUGCUGUGCUUCCAUCUCUCCAUCCUGCUGCAGAAGUGUGCUUUAAUGGAAAUCCUGUGAACCAAACAUCAAGGCUAUUGUCCACUUUCUACUAGUUGAGAAGGAGCAACUGCCAAUGCUCAGCUGCAAUCGUGGGCAUUCUGACAGUUUUUC
Molecule: long non-coding RNA, 916 nt
Organism: Podarcis raffonei (Aeolian wall lizard)
Lineage: Eukaryota; Metazoa; Chordata; Lepidosauria; Squamata; Lacertidae
Exons: 2
Source: RefSeq, a predicted model, not a curated record